This 430-nucleotide unclassified non-coding RNA is filed under the name soil metagenome. RNAcentral's name for it is "partial contains 5.8S ribosomal RNA, internal transcribed spacer 2, and large subunit ribosomal RNA". The stretch from base 1 to 120 matches the Rfam family "5.8S ribosomal RNA", at positions 35 to 154 of the family's 154-position model. The record is from RNAcentral.
GAUGAAGAACGUAGCGAAAUGCGAUACGUAAUGUGAAUUGCAGAAUUCAGUGAAUCAUCGAAUCUUUGAACGCAUAUUGCGCUCUCUGGUAUUCCGGAGAGCAUGCUUGUUUGAGUAUCAGUAAACACCUCAACUCUUUUUUCUUUUUUGAAAUUGGAGCUGGACUUGAGUGAUCCCAACGCUUUCUUCCAAGAAAGUGGCGGGUUGCUUGAGAUGCAGGUGCAGCUGAACUUUUCUCUGAGCUAUAAGCAUAUCUAUUUAGUCUGCCUAAAAAACAGAUUAUUACCUUUGCUGCAGCUAACAUAAAGGAGACUAGUUCUUGUGCUGACUGAUGCAGGAUUCACAGAGACAGCUUCGGCUGACUUUGUAAACUCGAUCUCAAAUCAAGUAAGACUACCCGCUGAACUUAAGCAUAUCAAUAAGCGGAGGA